Non-coding RNA from Oryza meridionalis, 211 nucleotides. The record is from Rfam. NCBI's taxonomy places the organism in Eukaryota, Viridiplantae, Streptophyta, Magnoliopsida, Poales, Poaceae.
CCGUCCCAAAAUUAUGGGUAUCCGUGUAUAACGUUUGACCGUCCGUCUUAUUUGAAAAUAUUGAUAAUUUUUUUAAAAAAAAUUAAUCACACAUAAAAAAAUAUUAUUCAUAUUUUAUCAUUUAACAACAAUAAAAUUACUAAUCAUAAAAAAAAUUAAAUAAGACGAGCGGUCAGACGUUGGAUAUGAACAGUGUAAAACUAUACUUAUU